AGCUUUGUGCAGUGGCGGUAUCAUAGCCAAUGAGGUUUAUCUGAGGCACAAUUAUUGCUAAUUGAAAAGUAAAACAUGCUCAUUUUAGAAACCUGAGAAACUAUAAAAUAAUA
This is a small nuclear RNA of Callithrix jacchus (white-tufted-ear marmoset), 113 nucleotides long. Its record names the gene U4. It matches the Rfam family "U4 spliceosomal RNA". Rfam says of the family: U4 small nuclear RNA (U4 snRNA) is a component of the major U2-dependent spliceosome. The structure of U4 snRNA from yeast and human has been reported. U4 snRNA presents a k-turn RNA motif in the 5p-SL related to recognition of Snu13 protein. The record is from Ensembl. NCBI's taxonomy places the organism in Eukaryota, Metazoa, Chordata, Mammalia, Primates, Cebidae.